RNAcentral lists this unclassified non-coding RNA (2418 nucleotides) under Hevea brasiliensis (rubber tree). The record is from RNAcentral. Lineage: Eukaryota; Viridiplantae; Streptophyta; Magnoliopsida; Malpighiales; Euphorbiaceae.
GAAACGAACGCAAUCAAUUAAUAGUGUUAAGAGUCUCAAAAACUGCGAAAGAAUAGAAAAAGUAAAUCAACAUGGAUAAUACAACACAUUUGAAGAACACAAUAACACGCAAUUAUACAUAGGGUCAGAUUUCUUUCAAGCCUUAUUUCCAGCCUACAAGAAAACGAAUUACAUAGAACAGCACCAGAGAUAAUGGGUAAAAAGAAAAUGCCAAGAUAAAAGUCCAAAAUGGGUAUGUGUCGUGCCAAUAGCCCAUUACUCCUAUUAUAGCACUAACCACCAUUAGCACUAGGACUUCAGCUGAAAAAUCCCAUGAAAACCCUCUUGCCCAAAUAAGUGCUACAAGGGUCAAUAGGCCUAGAAUAUUGUUCAUGAAUACUGCUCCAUAAAUCUGCAAUACAUGGAAUUAAUGAAAAUCCUUCAAUUAAAUUUUCCUAUGCACAUUCAUGAGAUGAGAAACAAAAGACUAAAGCGAGGGGAUGAACCUCUGAAAACAUUAUUGAACAUGCUCCUUCCUUCUUUUGACUUGCAGGGUAGAUUGUUGCCAUUGCGGUUUUGAAAUUUACAGCGAAAGGAAGCACCACAAAUGAAAUGAAGAAAGAAGGUAUGCCUAAGCGUUCUGAUAAGAGUUGGGUAUUAUUCACCAGAGGCAUUCCAAGGGAAGACACAAUUGCAGUUCCAAGACCAACUCCAAGUAAAGCUUUCAUCAGUGAACGCUUUGACAUUUUUUUGAUACUGCUUUUCUCUUUCUCUAUGCAUUCAUUGAAGAAUUGAGAGGUAGUACCAUCGGAUAGCCUUUUCUUGAAUCCAACCAAAAAUUCUUCCUCAUGCAGCACAUUGUCCUUGUCCAUGUCAAAAACUUUCAUCAUUUUUUUCUCCAGAUCAUCAUGAUCCAAUUUUACACUUCUGAAUUUGCUCUCAAUCAUUUCUCUUAGUUCUUGAACUGUCAUCUUUUUGUCACCAUCUUUGUCAAACUCCACAAAGAGACUUCGUAUCUUCUCUUCAUCAGGUUUUCCAUCAGUGAGAAGGCAAGCAAGUUGUUCGUUCUGGGCAGUGUUUAAAAUUUUUGACAGUUGCUCCUCAAUUUCGAGUAAUUUUCUCUUGCUUUUAUUAAUCCAUGGUUGAACCAUUCGAUGUAUCCCUGGGAAAUAUUGUUUUGAGCUGUCAGUUUUAUCAGCAACCAUUUCCUUGGCAUUACGGACAAAUCUUUCACACCCACCCAGAAACUCAUCCACAGUAAUCAAAUGAUUACUGUCCUGGUCGAAGUGUUUCAUUAGUUGUUUAAUUGCAAAUUCUUCAUCAACAGCCAGAUGCCCAGAUUUCUUGUUUGCUAAGAAUUCUCUGAGUUCAUCUUUUGAUAUGUGAUCAUCAUUAUCUUUAUCAAUCUUACGGAAUGUCCUUUUAAUGCAAGAAGCGUCGACAUUUCCUUCGUCAUUGACAAGAGUUCUUUUAGCAAAAUUUUGCAAAUGAUCCAAGAAUCCAGCCAGCAGAAGCUGAUCCCUUGAAUAUUCUAAACUUCUUUCUUGGAUCCAUUUAUUACGCGACUGAUAACCCAAGUAUGAAACUAAUGCUGCGACAGAUACUGUGAGAGUCACUAUGAGGCUCCAUGGCCGUGACUUGAAGUUACUAGCUACUUCCACAAUUAUAAAUGGAAUUAGUGACAGAAGCAUUAUCCCUGCUGCGUAUCUCGUCUCCUUGUCCGUCUUUACCCCAUAUUCUUUUAAUACUGAUAAUCGCCGUUUAACCCGCAAACACCCUGCAGGAGUCGAGGCAUUUGAUGAUUCUUGCUGAGGAGGUGACAAUUCCUUGGUUAUUUUAGUUCUGCCAAGAAUGACGCAAAUUCCCCACUGUAAUGUCAAGUAAAAAACAGUAGAUCCAGCAAGAGUACCAGCUCCGUUCUCGAUUCUAGCUUGAGCAGCAUCUUUGUUCUGAGCAAGCCCAGAUGCAAGAACUAGCACGAUAGUGGGUAGCACUGUAAGGAUGCGAAAUACAGUGGCACCAUAGAUACCGACACCGAGGAUACUGAAGAGUUGCUGUCUACCCUUUGUUAAGAUUUUGUCACCCACAAGCAGCAGAUAUUCAAGGACUACGAUUUGGAAGAUGAAGCCUGGAAUAUUGGAAGCGCAUGGCAAGAAGCCAUAGGGGUGAGUACAUGUAUGUUUUGUAGAAUUCAGGGCGUUGGAACUUGGAUUUGAAGAGUUAAAAUCAAGGUGACGGACUACUCUAGCAGACACCAGUUCCUCAGAGCUUAAUCUAAUUCCCCGGAGACCUUGCGCAUUUCCUACCACAAGCAGGAUGAGAAUAGCCUGCACCUGCAGAGAAGGAAGGGGCACUACCAUUGAUGCUACAAAACAAUUGCCAAGAUGCCUUUGUUUGGGUCAUGUAGCUGUACCUCUGGAGGCAGCCCAAAAUAUAAAU